Molecule: ribosomal RNA, 502 nt
Filed under: uncultured bacterium
Lineage: Bacteria
Description: bacterial SSU rRNA
Rfam family: Bacterial small subunit ribosomal RNA
Source: RNAcentral
GAUGAACGCUAGCUACAGGCUUAACACAUGCAAGUCGAGGGGCAGCAUGAACUUAGCUUGCUAAGUUUGAUGGCGACCGGCGCACGGGUGAGUAACACGUAUCCAACCUUCCGUUUACUCAGGGAUAGCCUUUCGAAAGAAAGAUUAAUACCUGAUAGUAUGGUGAGAUUGCAUGAUAACACCAUUAAAGAUUUAUUGGUAAACGAUGGGGAUGCGUUCCAUUAGGUAGUAGGCGGGGUAACGGCCCACCUAGCCUGCGAUGGAUAGGGGUUCUGAGAGGAAGGUCCCCCACAUUGGAACUGAGACACGGUCCAAACUCCUACGGGAGGCAGCAGUGAGGAAUAUUGGUCAAUGGGCGAGAGCCUGAACCAGCCAAGUAGCGUGAAGGAUGACUGCCCUAUGGGUUGUAAACUUCUUUUAUAAAAGGAAUAAAGUCGGGUAUGCAUACCCGUUUGCAUGUACUUUAUGAAUAAGGAUCGGCUAACUCCGUGCCAGCAGCCGC